CUGUUGGUUAUGUGUGCCCAAGCAUUGAGGCAGUCAAAGUAGGCAAAUCCGCUUUGAUAAUGCUGGGAUGUGAUGGGGAGCGAAAUUUAGUAGCGAAGUAGCUGAUUUCACACUGUCAAGAAAAGUCUCUAUCGAGGUUAAAGGUACCCGUACCGCAAACCGACACAGGGGGGUGAGGAGAGUAUCCUAAGGCCAGCGAGAGAACUGUUGUUAAGGAACUCGGCAAAAUGACCCCGUAACUUAGGGAUAAGGGGUGCCACCAUCAGGUGGCCGCAGAGAAUAGGCCCAAGCGACUGUUUACCAAAAACAUAGGUUUCUGCUAAGUCGCAAGACGAUGUAUAGGAGCUGACGCCUGCCCGGUGCUGG
Molecule: ribosomal RNA, 366 nt
Filed under: Clostridioides difficile
Lineage: Bacteria; Bacillati; Bacillota; Clostridia; Peptostreptococcales; Peptostreptococcaceae
Description: bacterial LSU rRNA
Rfam family: Bacterial large subunit ribosomal RNA
Source: RNAcentral